UGGGGAAUAUUGGGCAAUGGGAGAAACCCUGACCCAGCAACGCCGCGUGAAGGAAGAAGGCCUUCGGGUUGUAAACUUCUUUGAUCAGGGAAGAAACAAAUGACGGUACCUGAAAAACAAGCCACGGCUAACUACGUGCCAGCAGCCGCGGUAAUACGUAGGUGGCAAGCGUUAUCCGGAUUUACUGGGUGUAAAGGGCGUGUAGGCGGUCUCAUAAGUCAGAUGUGAAAUUCCCGGGCUUAACCCGGGCGCUGCAUCUGAAACUGUGGGACUUGAGUACUGGAGAGGAUAGUGGAAUUCCUAGUGUAGCGGUAAAAUGCGUAGAUAUUAGGAGGAACACCGGUGGCGAAGGCGACUAUCUGGACAGUAACUGACGCUGAGGCGCGAAAGCGUGGGGAGCAA
RNAcentral lists this ribosomal RNA (402 nucleotides) under uncultured bacterium. RNAcentral describes it as "bacterial SSU rRNA". It matches the Rfam family "Bacterial small subunit ribosomal RNA", at positions 355 to 771 of the family's 1533-position model. The record is from RNAcentral.